CCUACGGGAGGCAGCAGUGGGGAAUAUUGGGCAAUGGGCGCAAGUCUGACGCAGCGACGCCGCGUGAGGGAAGAAGGCUUUCGGAUUGUAAACUUCUGUUAGCAGGGAAGAGCAGAAGCCGGUACCCCUUGAAUCAUCCACAGCUAACUAUGUGCCAGCAGCCGCGGUAAUACGUAGGUAGCAAGCGUGGUACGGCUUUACUGGGUGUAAAUGGCGUGUAUCCGGGAAGACAAGUCAGAGGUGAAAUCCCCGGGCUCAACCGAGGAACUGCAUGUGAAGCUGUUGUGCUUGAGUAUGGGAGAGGUAAGCGGAAUUCCUGGUGUAGCGGUGAAAUGCGUAGAUAUGAGGAAGAACACCAGUGGCGAAGGCGGAUUACUGGACGACAACUGACGGUGAGGCGCGAAAGCGUGGGGAGCAAACAGGAUUAGAUACCCUGGUAGUC
Molecule: ribosomal RNA, 442 nt
Filed under: uncultured bacterium
Lineage: Bacteria
Description: partial 16S ribosomal RNA
Rfam family: Bacterial small subunit ribosomal RNA
Source: RNAcentral